UGGCUCUCGCAUCGAUGAAGAACGCAGCGAAUUGCGAUAAGUAAUGUGAAUUGCAGAAUUCAGUGAAUCAUCGAAUCUUUGAACGCACCUUGCGCUCCUUGGUAUUCCGAGGAGCACGCCUGUUCGAGUGUCGUGAAUAUCUCAAACUCUAGCACUUUGUUGAGUUAGGGUUUGGACUUGGACGUUGCCGUGCUGUUAAAGUGCGGCUGGUCUUAAAUAUAUUAGCUGAUCCAUGCUUGCAUGUUUGGUUCUACUCGGCGUGAUAAUUCUCUGACCGCUGAGGACAUUUGCUUUGUUGUGAAUGGCCUAAUGUGCCUUAGAUUGCUUCUAAUCUGUCUGCCUUGCGCAACAACCUUUCAAUUUUGACCUCGAAUCAGGUGGGACUACCCGCUGA
This 394-nucleotide unclassified non-coding RNA is filed under the name uncultured fungus. RNAcentral's name for it is "partial contains 5.8S ribosomal RNA and internal transcribed spacer 2". The stretch from base 1 to 133 matches the Rfam family "5.8S ribosomal RNA", at positions 22 to 154 of the family's 154-position model. The record is from RNAcentral. Lineage: Eukaryota; Fungi.